RNAcentral lists this ribosomal RNA (119 nucleotides) under Helictochloa adsurgens. Lineage: Eukaryota; Viridiplantae; Streptophyta; Magnoliopsida; Poales; Poaceae. The record is from RNAcentral.
GGAUGCGAUCAUACCAGCACUAAAGCACCGGAUCCCAUCAGAACUCCGAAGUUAAGCGUGCUUGGGCGAGAGUAGAACUAGGAUGGGUGACCUCCUGGGAAGUCCUCGUGUUGCAUCCC